This is a long non-coding RNA of Oncorhynchus tshawytscha (Chinook salmon), 1219 nucleotides long. NCBI's taxonomy places the organism in Eukaryota, Metazoa, Chordata, Actinopteri, Salmoniformes, Salmonidae. The record is from Ensembl.
UUUAUUUAUUUAUUUAUUUAUUGAAUGUAGUAUUCGGUGUUAGGGUAGUUUUUUGUUGUUUAUUCCAGCAAAGUAUGAGGUAGUUACACCCCAGUCUAGUAGGUGGCGGUAAUGCAACAUUUAUUGGAUGCCAACCGCCGUUAAACCGUUAAAUCGAAGAAGAAGAUGCGCGCUUGCUGCAUAACUAUGUGAACGUCACCAGCUCGCGGUCUCUACACAGUCCACGGUGGUGAGUUGGUUAGGCCUACUGAACAGCACAAACUGGCCCUAACCAGAACAGAAAGAGGAGUUGGAGGCCCCGGUGCACAAAAAAACCCAGCCGCUUCCAGGCCUGCAGUGACUGAAAAGCAGUCUGGAGCUCUUCAACAGCCUGAACCAGAGAAGGAGCACAUGAAUAUAUGACUGGAUACAUCUGACAACACACCAUAUCCUCUAUUUGUCAUUUCAUCAACGAGUGCAAGCGAAGUGAAGAGGUUUGUCAUGAAGGAACUUGCUAACCUUGAGGCACCUGAGAUUGCUCUGCAAGACCGAGAACGACACUGGGUCCCUGACCCAACCCAGUCCCAGGGAGGAGAGUGUGCGAUCCACCAUAUGGCUCCAUGUGACCACUGGAUGAGGCAAGGCUCCGUAGCUUGUAACCAACACGGAUUGGUUUACCUCUUAUGAAUUGCUUAUAUCCAUGUCGGCCAUAGUAUCAGAUCAUGCUCUCAUUCACUGACAGCCAUUCCUGAAAUGGCAUGACUUUGUAUGACUGACUGAGCUCUGAGAAGAUGGACCAAACCUUUAAAAAAAAUGGGUCGUCAGUGAUCUUUGUGUUGUCAACCACAUGAACUGAGGCCAUUUUAUUUAAAUAAAAGCAAUUUCUCCGCAUUUGAAUCUGAAGUGCUUUCAUUGUGUACAUCACUGUCAAGUGACCAGUACACGUGUCUUAUUGGAACAGAGAUGGGAUAAGGAUCCCAUCGAAUAUAAGAAGCUCAUCCAUCCUCCGAUACAGUUGCUUGUCCUUGGUCUGGGUGGAGUGGAGGUUGGACAUUUCAAUGGCGAUCUCUCUUAGGGUGGGUGGAUACAGUUGAGGUUUUAGGCUGGGUUUCUGUACAGCACUUUGAGACAUCAGCUGAUGUACGAAGGGGCUAUACAAAUACAUUUGAAUUGAUUUGAUUUACACUUGUUUAUCCCAUGUGUAACUCUGUGUCUGUCGCACUGCUUUGCUUUAUCUUGG